RNAcentral lists this unclassified non-coding RNA (743 nucleotides) under Hevea brasiliensis (rubber tree). The record is from RNAcentral. Lineage: Eukaryota; Viridiplantae; Streptophyta; Magnoliopsida; Malpighiales; Euphorbiaceae.
GUGCAUUUCUCCCUCCUCCAAGCAUCCAAAUCAAAGAAGUUCAUCCCGUAAGCCCAAGCACAUGCCUUCGGAUUAAACUUCUCCUUGAUCAAAGGGUGUGAGAAAUUCAUAUACUGUGCAUACCUAUGAAAUGACCCAAAACAAGUCUCUACUGCCCCAUUCACCUUCCCAUCCAUAUCGAUCUUCCACAACCCAGUCAGAUCCUUCUGCACCACGAUAUCAUCAUCUAAAAACAAUAUCCUGUGCAACUUAGGGUACAUCUCGGGCAAGUAAAACCUCAAAUGAUUCAGAAUUGACAAGUAUUUGGGGUUCCUGAACUUCAUAUUUGUUGUAUCCUUGGUUGCAUUCUCAAGUUUAUUCUCAAAGUAAAACCUCUGAAGAUUUGCAGAUUCCAAUUGCCUAAGCACAGGCACAUAAGAAGAAUUCAAGAAUUUAUAAUCCUCAACAGCUUUCACUUCUAUAUGUGCCCCAUUAUAAGACUUCAAUUUGAACAUAACCUGCAUCGCCCCCAGAUUCAUUUUAUCAGUCACAACAUGAAAUACGUGUUUCCACGGCUCUUUUGCAUUUUUCACUGCAGAGUUCACCACCACCGAAGCGGCAAUCACAUUAUCUGAGAAAAUCGCAUAAUGGUAAAGUUUUGGAUCCUCCAGUUCAGGUGCCUGCGGCUUCCCUUCAUCAGUAUAUUUCUCAGGGUAUGCAAUUCUCUCCUCCAUUAACCUCAUAGCAAGGCAAUGCAAGCUUUU